RNAcentral lists this long non-coding RNA (707 nucleotides) under Homo sapiens (human). RNAcentral describes it as "HSALNT0166263". The record is from RNAcentral. Lineage: Eukaryota; Metazoa; Chordata; Mammalia; Primates; Hominidae.
CCCUGCUCUCUAUCUUGCUCUUGCUGCGGCCAUCUAAGAUGUGCCUGCUUCUCUUUCACCUUCCACCGUGAUUGAAAAUUUCCUGAGUCCUCCUGACAAGCCGCUCUGCAUCCUGUACAGCUUGCAGAACUUUCUCAAAAGUAAGUGAGCUGUUCCUAAACCUAUUGGGUCUAGAAGUGGUCUCAGUUUAUGGGCAGCUGACGAUGUCUCACUAUGAAGAACUUGUCCUGAUGGUGUGCAGCUGCUGAAGAUGUAUAGCAGGGAUCUUCCAUGGGAGGUCCAAGAAGGCUGAUAUCUUCCAGGCUUGCCUAUAGGUAUAUGUGGCUCACAUGCCAAGAUGGGAACAAGUAAGUCUGAGCUUGGAGAACGUUUGAUACUGCUAAGCAGAGAAGAACCAGGGACUGUGCUCCUUCUACUUAUAAAGGAAUAAAAUUAACUGUAAAGCAUCCUUGGGCAGGUCCUUCAGGAGGUAUUCCGGAAGAGGGCAUUGUUAUCAUAGGAGAUGACAGCUCCAUCCUGUUACUGCCCCAAAGACCUUCCAGUGGGACAAGAUGUGGAGGUAGAAGACAGUGAUAUUAAUGAUCCUGACUCUGCGUAGGCCUAGGCUAAUGUGUGUGUGUCUUAGUUUUUAAAAAAGUUUAAAAAGUAAAAGACAAUUUAAAAAUUUUUAUUAGAAUAAAGCUUACAAAAUAAAGAUAUAAAGAAAG